Drosophila melanogaster (fruit fly) is the source of this 316-nucleotide non-coding RNA. The record is from Ensembl. NCBI's taxonomy places the organism in Eukaryota, Metazoa, Arthropoda, Insecta, Diptera, Drosophilidae.
AACGGAUGGCUGUUGAUGAUGGGUCACAGGCGUCUGCAAAUUUGCUUUGGCCAACGGACUAACUGCGAAUCAAUACGAAAUGAAAACCAAAUAAGCGACGUCCUGACAUCCUGCCCGUGCCCCAUGUCCCUGAUCAAACACAAGGCCAUCACCUCAAGCUGGCUUGCUUCGAUACCCGAUAAGUUUCGCUAUCAUGUCGGGUAAAAUUCAUAACCAUGUCUAUGACAGACAUUGAGCAUAUUAUCUGAUGUUGUCUGGGUGGCUGGUGGCGGUGGCAAAUUCAUUAUUUCAUCAAUAAAACAACACAGCAAUCAAU